GACGAGGGGUCCUAGCGUUGUCCGGAUCACUGGGCGUAAAGCGUGCGUAGGUGGUUUGUUAAGUCUGAUGUGAAAGCCCUGGGCUCAACCUGGGAAUUGCAUUGGAUACUGGCAGGCUAGAGUGCGGUAGAGGAUGGCGGAAUUCCCGGUGUAGCAGUGAAAUGGCGUAGAGAUGGGAGGAACAUCUGUGGCGAAGGCGGGCCCAUCUG
Molecule: ribosomal RNA, 209 nt
Filed under: uncultured bacterium
Lineage: Bacteria
Description: partial 16S ribosomal RNA
Rfam family: Bacterial small subunit ribosomal RNA
Source: RNAcentral